Long non-coding RNA from Notolabrus celidotus (New Zealand spotty), 405 nucleotides. RefSeq lists it as uncharacterized. The transcript is spliced from 3 exons. The record is from RefSeq and is a predicted model, not a curated record. Lineage: Eukaryota; Metazoa; Chordata; Actinopteri; Labriformes; Labridae.
AAGAGGGGGGAGGCAUCUAUCAGCUCAGGCAGAGUUUUUUUGAGUGGGACCAGUCUGACCCCAUUCCUGUCUUUGUCCCGGUGACAGGGCAGAUUCCUGGACGCUCAGAGACAUUCAGGUCCUCUGGAUGUGACUCUACUAUCCAGGAAUGGAAAAACUGGCAAAGGAGAUGUUGUGCUCGUGCAAAGCAGCAUGUCCAGAGGAAGAGCACAUACUCCCUACUGUGCUGUUGUUAUUUCAAGAGGAUUAAUGGGCGGCUGCAGAAGUCGGGACAGGGUUAAGGUCAAUACUGAGCUCCUGUUUCACAGCCAGCACAUCCAUGUGAGAGCUACCGUGUGGUGCUGAGAACACAAGAAAAGCACGUGUCUGCAGUGAGCUCAUUCAUGUCUCAUGUAUGAGUGUCAC